UACGGAGGAUCCAAGCGUUAUCCGGAAUCAUUGGGUUUAAAGGGUCCGUAGGCGGUCAGGUAAGUCAGUGGUGAAAGCCCAUCGCUCAACGGUGGAACGGCCAUUGAUACUGCUUGACUUGAAUUACUAGGAAGUAACUAGAAUAUGUAGUGUAGCGGUGAAAUGCUUAGAUAUUACAUGGAAUACCAAUUGCGAAGGCAGGUUACUACUAGUGUAUUGACGCUGAUGGACGAAAGCGUGGGGAGCGAACAGG
Molecule: ribosomal RNA, 253 nt
Filed under: uncultured bacterium
Lineage: Bacteria
Description: partial 16S ribosomal RNA
Rfam family: Bacterial small subunit ribosomal RNA
Source: RNAcentral